GGGGUAACCAUGGUUGGCCAUGAGAGGGGUAUGAGAGAGCUUCUUUGUUUGAGUUGGGAAGAAGAAGAGAGGAGAUGGGAUUAUUUUGGAUCUAGCUAGACCCGGUUCACGGUGGACCACGUUAAUUUUUGCAUGAUUUAUUUUUAUAUUUAGGUUUCAAUUUAUCGUAACAAUAUUAGACGUAAUUAAGUUGUUAAUUAGAGUGUUUUGCCUCUAUCAGUUGAAUUAUAUUUAAUUGGAAAAGCUUCUGGUGCACGUUGCUGAUGCUGGAUCGGGUGCAGUGAAAUUUUGGUGCUUAUAAUGGCUUAAAAGAUCAGCCAGGGACCAAUCUGUAAAUAGCAGUUUUGGUUUUGGGGACUGAUCCGUAAAAGAGGCAUAACUUUUUGUCCGUAAGGCGGAAUUUUGCGAUUCAAGUUCUAUAGGACUCGUCUUGUAAAUACGGAUAAGAUCGUGUGGUCUAAUUAUUCUGAUUUAAUGUAUUAUUUUCGCAGAAUUUUUAAUAGUUAAAGGGCUUGUUUGAAAAUAUAUUUUAUUUGGGUCUUUUAGUCGUUGUAGGUGCUGAGACAACCGUAAAAUCUCAAUCUUAGAACGUGACGAAUUUGUGAGCACUAAUAGAGGCAAGUAAAUAGCUACUUUCUGCAAACGGUAGAAAAUAUGCGGAUCCGAGUGGGUUCAGGACAUAAUUAUUAUCUGUUCUGUUUACUAAUUGUUGAUACAUCCGAGUGGAUUUUAUAAUUAUUAUUAACAGACAUGGUUUAUUUAUUUUGCACAUUAUUAUUAUCAUAUUCUAUUAUUGGAUAUGACUGUUGCGGUCGGAUUCCUCGGAGGAGAGGGAUUUAUCCGGUACGCAGUUUUCGAGAAGAAACAGCGCGUAAUUGUAGCUCUCGCGGUUAGAGCGACGGAGUGGAGAUGCUCUAAAUUAUGACCUUUGUAGUUUCAAAUUUAAAUUAUCGUUAUUCUUGAAGUAGAUUUCUUGUUAAGCAUUGCGCUUACUUUUGUUGUCUACUGUUUCAGGUACCGAGAGUCGGGGUGUGUGAGAUAAUUGGCCGGCGAGAACUCGUUAGAUAGAUUUUAAAUUUUGGACAUAUGAUUUAUUUUGACAUAAGAUUGAUUAUAUGGACAUUUAGAAGUUAUUGUUUAGUUUCGUUUUAAUUAAUAAAUUAUUUAGUUUUUAACUGUGAUGGUGGCUUUGGAUCAAUUUAAGGCCUUCCGUUUUCGGAGGUUCUUCCUCUGAAUUCGUGGCCGGUUGUUGCGGUUCAGAUCCGAGCAGUUGCAUCUGGGGCGUGAUAGCUUUAGUGGUAUCAAAGCCUAGGUUAUUGACACCUUAGCAAAAUGACACCAUACUUAGGGAUUUAGGACGCGCGAGUGCGUGGGAUUCUUUUUGGACUCGAGGCGAGGGUUUAGCAAACUUUUAUGUCUUAAUUGUGUUAUGUUUUGUAGACGAUGCCACGUUCUCGGAGGACUGUCACUUCGCAAGCUAAUGUACCUGUUGAUCCUAUUCCACCGGGGGAUCUACCACCAGAGAACUCGCAACCAGAAGUAUCCUCAGUAAAAAAGCGACAGAGAAUGCCGCAUGAUCCAUUACAAGAGAUGCUGAGUGUUAUUAAAACACAACAAGAUCAGAUGAUGGCCCUACAGGAAGAGAUCAGAGGCCUCAAGGCAAUGCAAAGUAACGAUCCUCGAGGUGGAAAUAGCCUUAUUGAUUUUCAAAAGCUAAAUCCUCCUAUUUUUCGUGGGUCGACAGAUCCUCUGGAGGCGGAGUCUUGGCUCCAGGAGAUGGAGAAGGCCUUGACGCAUAUGGACAUCGGAGGAGAGACACAGGUGACUUUCGCCACUUAUAUGCUUCGAGAAGGGGCUUAUGAGUGGUGGAAGUCAGUUCGGGACGGACACAGCGACAAGACACAAUCUUGGACAUGGAAGGAGUUUUGUAAGAUUUUCUAUGACAAGUACUUUCCAGAUAGUAUUCAUCGAGCUAAGAAAGCAGAAUUCGUACACUUGGAACAGAGUAAUCGCACGAUUAUCGAGUACGAGCUCGAAUUUACUCGGUUAGAGCGCUUUGCUCCGGCCGCAUUUAUGGACCUAAUGAAUCGGAUCUUCAAGCCUUAUCUAGACCAGUUUGUGGUGGUGUUUAUUGAUGACAUUCUUAUUUACUCGCGGAGUGCAGAGCAACACGAACAACACCUGAGAUUAGUGCUCCAGAUCCUACGAGACAGGAAACUUUAUGCUAAACUAAAGAAAUGUGACUUCUGGUUGGAAGAGGUCUCUUUCUAGGGGCAUGUCGUGUCCAAGGAUGGUAUCUCGGUUGAUAAAAGAAAGGUCGAAGCUGUGCAGGCAUGGCUGAGGCCUACGAGUGCUACCGAGAUUCGUAGCUUUCUGGGCCUAGCUGGCUAUUAUCGACGGUUCAUAGAGGGGUUCUCUCGGAUCGCCGUCCCUUUGACGCGGUUGACGCAAAAAAAAGAGCGAAAUUUGUGUGGACCGAUGAGUGCGAGGAGAACUUUCAAGAGCUGAAGCGACGGUUGAUCACGGCUCCUAUCUUGGCACUUCCUGUGUGUGGUGAAGGCUUCAUUGUUUAUAGUGAUGCAUCCUUACGAGGUUUAGGGUGUGUCUUGAUGCAAAAUGAUCGAGUGAUUGCUUAUGCUUCUAGACAGCUAAAGCCAUACGAGCAAAACUACCCUACUCAUGACCUAGAGCUUGCCGCAGUAGUGUUUGCUCUUAAGAUUUGGCGUCAUUAUCUUUAUGGGGAGCAAUGUGAGUUUUACACCGAUCAUAAAAGCUUAAAAUAUUUUUUCACGCAGAAAGAGCUAAAUAUGCGACAACGUAGAUGGCUUGAGCUUAUGAAGGAUUAUGAGUUGACAAUCUUGUAUCAUCCCGAGAAAGCGAAUGUGGUAGCGGAUGCGCUAAGCUGCAAGGCCACUGAAAAUUUGGCUACACUGAUUACUGAGCAAAAGUAUCUUUUAGAGGAUCUACGAAAGAUAGACUUAGAGGUGACUAUUCACGAGCCGGGAGCUCGAUUGGCUCAACUUCGAAUUCGACCCACAUUAUUGGAUCAAAUUAAGUUGGCCCAGUCAUCCGAUGUUGCUCUUCAGAAGAUCCGAGCGGCCGUGGGGGUAGGUUCUCAGAUAGAAUUUCAUAUCCACGAGGAUGGAUCGUUAAGGUACGGUAAUCGACUAUGUGUUCCCAACGAUGAGGCCUUAAAGAGAAAAAUCUUGGAGGAGACUCAUUCGUCAGCUUACACCAUACAUCCGGGUAGCACAAAGAUGUAUCGUGACAUAAGAGAAAUUUUCUGGUAGGCCGGCAUGAAACGAGACAUUGCUCGAUUUGUUUCACAGUGUCUUGUAUGCCAGCGGGUCAAAGCUGAGCACCAGAGGACGGCGGGAUUAUUGCAGCCGCUGCCGAUACCCGAGUAGAAAUGGGAGAAGAUUACUAUGGAUUUUGUGGUAGGGUUACCACGUACACAGUUAGGGUCCGAUGCGAUUUGGGUGGUCGUCGACCGGUUGACUAAGUCUGCGCACUUCAUACCUAUUAAGGUGAGCUAUCCUUUGGAGAAACUUGCGAAAUUAUAUAUCAAAGAUGUGGUGAGACUACAUGGUGUCCCGGUAUCCAUCGUUUCAGAUCGAGAUCCGCGAUUUGUGUCGCGAUUUUGGCAUAGCUUGCAUGAGGCUUUGGGGACUCGCUUGGAUAUGAGUACGGCAUAUCAUCCGCAGAGCGAUGGUCAGUCAGAGCGCACGAUACAGAUCUUAGAAGAUAUGUUGCGAGCAUGCGUGAUUGACUGGGGUGGGUCGUGGGACCGGCACUUACCAUUGGCGGAGUUUGCGUACAAUAAUAGUUAUCAAGCCAGUAUACAGAUGCCCCCUUUUGAAGCUCUCUAUGGAAGAAAGUGUAGAUCGCCUAUCCACUGGGAUGAUGUUGGCGAGAGACAGAUUCUAGGGCCUGAGCUGGUCCAGCAAGCUAAUGAAAAAGUGCGGGUUGUGCGAGAACGUCUAUGAGCCGCACAGAAUAGACAGAAGAGCUAUAGUGAUAGUCGUCGGCGAAUGUUAGAAUUCACAGUUGGUGAUGACGUGUUCCUGAAGGUGUCGCCAACCAAGGGGGUAAUACGGUUUGGGCUUCGAGGAAAGCUGAAUCCGUGUUACAUUGGACCUUUUGAAAUACUGGAACGAGUCAACAACGUGGCGUACCGAGUAGCAUUACCGCCUUCUCUUGCUGGGGUGCAUAAUGUGUUCCAUGUGUCGAUGCUGCGAAAGUAUGUUCAAGAUCCAAAACACGUCAUCGACUAUUCUCCAAUUCAGCUGAGAAAGGACCUAUCAUACGAGGAGCAGCCUAUCCGGAUCUUGGAUUGAAGGGAAAAGGUUUUGUGAAAAAGGACGGUUCAGCUGGUACGUGUGCUGUGGAGGCAUCACGUGGAGAAUGAGGCGACGUGGGAGCCGGAAGAGGAGAUACGGAGCAAAUAUCCUCAGCUCUUUCCAGAUUCUGUUAAGUAAAUUUCGGGGACGAAAUUUCUUUUAAGGGGGGUAAGAUGUAAUACCCGUAUCUAAUUAAUUUAAAUUAGAAUUUAAAUAUGUGGCCAUGAUUGUAGUUUUGUGAUAAACCCGUUAUUAAAUAUUUUUGAUUUAUUUGUACCGUCGGAUUAAGCGGAUUCGGUUGGAUUUGAUUUUCGGAUUAAUUAUACUCUAAUACUAGUUAGAGUAGGAUUGAGAUUUAGCCCUAAUUAAUCACCUAUAAAUAGGUAAUUUAGGGAGGGUGUACGGCCAAAAAUAUUAUAAUAAUAAAUAUUGUUGCCGGAUUCUUUGUGCAAGCGUGGCCGCCGGCGGGAGCAAGAUCCGACAAUCGUGGGGGAGAGGAAAAAGAACGAGAGCGAGGUGAGUCUCCAAUAAUUAGUUUUCUCGUUUUUUUCUCUCUUUUCUUUCUUCUUCUAUCUCCCAAUCUUAUCCUCUCUCCUCGUUGUACCGCCGCCGCCGUCGCCGGAGUGGUCGCCGGCCACCUACGGACGGGUUGGGGUGAACCCCCUAUGGGGUAACCAUGGUUGGCCAUGAGAGGGGUAUGAGAGAGCUUCUUUGUUUGAGUUGGGAAGAAGAAGAGAGGAGAUGGGAUUAUUUUGGAUCUGGCUAGACCCGGUUCACGGUGGACCACGUUAAUUUUUGCAUGAUUUAUUUUUAUAUUUAGGUUUCAAUUUAUCGUAACGAUAUUAGACGUAAUUAAGUUGUUAAUUAGAGUGUUUUGCCUCUAUCGGUUGAAUUAUAUUUAAUUGGAAAAGCUUCUGGUGCACGUUGCUGAUGCUGGAUCGGGUGCAGCGAAAUUUUGGUGCUUAUAAUGGCUUAAAAGAUCAGCCAGGGACCAAUCUGUAAAUAGCAGUUUUGGUUUUGGGGACUGAUCCGUAAAAGAGGCAUAACUUUUUGUCCGUA
RNAcentral lists this long non-coding RNA (5399 nucleotides) under Ananas comosus (pineapple). RNAcentral's name for it is "long non-coding RNA (ACOM_LNC023195)". The record is from RNAcentral. Lineage: Eukaryota; Viridiplantae; Streptophyta; Magnoliopsida; Poales; Bromeliaceae.